UUCAAUAGUCCUCAUCAUCAUUAGUGUAAAUUAGCAAGUAAGUUUCUCCGGUCUGUGAUUUCUUAUUGAUAGAAAAAAGUCGAGAUUGCAUUGCUUAAUAAAAACUAGGCAGGGUAGCACAACCAAUAGGAAGCUAGAAUACUAUAGAAUACCAUGCUUCAUUCAAAGAGUUCAAAACAAAGCAAUGUACUAGGAGUAAUCAGGUUGAUGGAAAAAUUGUUCCCUGUAAGAAGAUGCAGUAACUCUUUCAUGCCACUAGGGUAUUAAUAUUAGGGGGAAAGAAGCAACUGAUUAGAAUCCCAGAAGAGCUGUUAAAUCCCAGGAGAGAAUCAGAGUGCAGAAGCAUCUUCAGUUGGAGAGCCAUUGCCUCUUGCUGUGAAAUAUUUGGGAAUCUUCAGAAACCAUGAAGAAUAACCUGCUAAAGCUGAGCUGGGACUCUGCCUGGAUAUAACUUAUGGCCUAUUCUAUAUGGAAAGUUGGUUUUCUCACAGUUCCACUCCCUUUCCAGAUAUCAGCAAAUGGCCCUCCUAGCCCAGAAGUCUCCAGAGAGGCCACCAAGUUCUAUUGAACAUCAUGAAUCCUAUGCUCAAGUGAGAUCAGCUCAAGUGAGACCAGAUAUCUGAAGACCUUUUCAUUUUCGCCACCCUCAAAUGAAGGCAUGCAAGCUUAUGUUGACACAUCGUUCUAGGAAGAAAACAGAACAUUUCUGCUCAUCAGUGUUUUGCAGUAGGAGAUAAAAACUAUCAUGUGGAAGAUGCCCUCCCUGUGCCAAGAGAAAAGAAACAUUCUUCCAUGAAGACUCAUAGCCGAGAUAAUUCCGUAUAAACAGACCUUGUUAAAAGAAUUAUCUCCCUUUGGCCUCCCCACAAAAUUUAGAUACUUUUCCACAAUUGCCUCUUUACAAAAUCAUGUAAGCCUUGCUUUUUUUUUUAUCUUCAUUUUCUCAUGAGGGCUCCUGUGUCAUGUAAAAUAUGUUAAAUUUAUACGCUUUUCUCUUGUUAAUUUAUCUUACGUCAAUUUAAUUCUCAAGCCCAGCAGAGACCCUAGAAGGGCAGAGGUAAAUUUUUGCCUGCACUACACUAUUGAUCCCAAAACACACACACAGAGAGAGAGAGAGAGAAAGAGAGAGAGAGAAACUCUCUUCCUAUUCUGUGCCAGUGAAAUUCUGCCAUCAGCAAAUAUAUCUUUUCUGACUUUGAAAAUACUGAUGACAGUGGAGAUUAAAAUCCUACCAAGGCUGCUGCAGAAUCAAUGACACAUGAGGUGGCCAGGCAUGGUGGCUCACGACUGUAAUCCCAGCACUUUGGGAGGCCAAGGUGGGUGGAUCCCCUGAAGCCAAGAGUUCAAGACCAGCCAGGCUAACAUGGUGAAACUCCAUCUCUACUAAAAAUACAAAAAAUUAGCCGGGUGUGGUGGCACAUGCCUGUAAUCCCAGCUACUCAGGAGGCAGAGAGAGGAGAAUUGCCUGAGCCCAGAAGGUGGAGGUUGCAGUGAGCCGAGAUCAUGCCACUGCACUCCAGCCUGGGUAACAGAGUGAGACUCCGUCUCAAAAAAAAAAACAAAAAACAAAAAACAAAAAAAAAACACAUGAAGCUUUACCAGAAGAUUUCAGUAUGUCCUCCAGUGCGUAAUUCAUUUGUUCAACAAUUUUUACUGGGCAGGCAUUCUAAUAGAUGUUGAGGAUAUCACAAUAAAUAAGGCAAACAAAAUCUCUACCCUAUGGUAGAGAUUUUGAAAUAUCAAAUUAUUAAGUUUUAGGAAAAUUCAAUGACAAAAAGAAAGUCUUAUAAUAUUACCAUGUCCAGAUAAUGUAAGUAUUUACACAUUACUAUUUCAAUUUCAUUCAAUUUUUUUCUAAACUUUUAUUUUUUCAAACAUGUAAUCAUAAUAUAUUAGUGCUAAGUAUUAAAACAAUUUCUUAAUUCCCAUGUAAAUUUAAGGGUAUUUAAGCUUUUUUUUUUUUUUUUUUGAGACGGAGUUACACUCUUGUUGCUCAGGCUGGAGCUCAAUGGCGCGAUCUCAGCUCACCGCAACCUCCGCCUCAUGAGGUUCAAGCAAUUCUCCUGCCUCAGCCACCCCAAGUAGCUAGAAUUACAGGCAUGCGCCACCACGCACGUGGAAUCAGUUGUAUUGUUUCAAUACAACUUUUGGAAAUAAAAGUAUGGCAAAUUCUCACUCUCUUCCUUAGGUAAGCACCAAACUUUAAAAACAAAAGGCACUCACUAUAAGUGUGCUGUAGUGUUAUAAUGGCUAUGAGGUCAUUAAGAGAUAGGAAUUUUUCAGCCCGUUAUAAUCUUAGGGGACUAUUGUAUACGCAGUCUAUCAUUGACUAAAAUAUUAUUAGGCAGUAUAUGACUGUACUUUUGUUUAAGAUCUUAUGACAAAUCCAAAUAAAAA
RNAcentral lists this long non-coding RNA (2397 nucleotides) under Homo sapiens (human). RNAcentral's name for it is "HSALNT0140124". The record is from RNAcentral. Lineage: Eukaryota; Metazoa; Chordata; Mammalia; Primates; Hominidae.